Molecule: ribosomal RNA, 1064 nt
Filed under: Stigonema ocellatum CBFS A-029
Lineage: Bacteria; Bacillati; Cyanobacteriota; Cyanophyceae; Nostocales; Stigonemataceae
Description: bacterial SSU rRNA
Rfam family: Bacterial small subunit ribosomal RNA
Source: RNAcentral
ACGGAGCAAUACCGCGUGGGGGAGGAAGGCUCUUGGGUUGUAAACCUCUUUUCUCAGGGAAGACCUCGGACGGUACCUGAGGAAUAAGCAUCGGCUAACUCCGUGCCAGCAGCCGCGGUAAUACGGAGGAUGCAAGCGUUAUCCGGAAUGAUUGGGCGUAAAGCGUCCGCAGGUGGCAGUGUAAGUCUGCUGUCAAAGAGUCUGGCUCAACCAGAUAAAGGCAGUGGAAACUACACAGCUAGAGUACGUUCGGGGCAGAGGGAAUUCCUGGUGUAGCGGUGAAAUGCGUAGAGAUCAGGAAGAACACCGGUGGCGAAAGCGCUCUGCUAGGCCGUAACUGACACUGAGGGACGAAAGCUAGGGGAGCGAAUGGGAUUAGAUACCCCAGUAGUCCUAGCCGUAAACGAUGGAUACUAGGUGUUGCUUGUAUCGACCCGAGCAGUACCGUAGCUAACGCGUUAAGUAUCCCGCCUGGGGAGUACGCAGGCAACUGUGAAACUCAAAGGAAUUGACGGGGGCCCGCACAAGCGGUGGAGUAUGUGGUUUAAUUCGAUGCAACGCGAAGAACCUUACCAGGGCUUGACAUGUCGCGAAUUCCGGGGAAACUCGGAAGUGCCUUCGGGAGCGCGAACACAGGUGGUGCAUGGCUGUCAUCAGCUCGUGUCGUGAGAUGUUGGGUUAAGUCCCGCAACGAGCGCAACCCUCGUUUUUAGUUGCCAUCAUUAAGUUGGGCACUCUAGAGAGACUGCCGGUGACAAACCGGAGGAAGGUGGGGAUGACGUCAAGUCAGCAUGCCCCUUACGUCCUGGGCUACACACGUACUACAAUGCUCCGGACAGAGGGCAGCGAGCAUGCAAAUGCAAGCUAAUCCCGUAAACCGGAGCUCAGUUCAGAUCGCAGUCUGCAACUCGCCUGCGUGAAGUUGGAAUCGCUAGUAAUUGCAGGUCAGCAUACUGCGGUGAAUUCGUUCCCGGGCCUUGUACACACCGCCCGUCACACCAUGGAAGCUGGUAGUGCCCGAAGUCAUUACCCCAACCUUCGGGAGGGGGAUGCCUAAGGCAGGA